GGAGACUCUAAGACUUCUGAAGAGUUUCUUGCUUCUUUCCUGUGGGGCAGUGACUCCACUUCCCAGCAGUAAUGGAAUAUCCUGAAUUAGCUACAUUAAUGUUAGAACCAUUUGGACCUCACCCAGGACUUCAACUACAUUAUGAGUAACUCCUGGACGAUUGGCACAGAAGAAGGCACAAGGCAAAUACCCAUCUCUGUACACCCUGUGCUACUGUGUCAUGUGCUGCUCCAGGCAACUCCAAUGGAUUGGCCACCCUGGCCAAUGUGCCCUCCAAACACCAGCACUGAGUAGAAAGAGGCUCUGAUUCAUGAAAUGUGAAUUUAUGACAGUUGCCACUCUUAAAAAAAAAAACAAACAGACAGAACUUGAGCAAUACAUGACUGAUGCAUUCUCAGCCUGCUUCCUGUGUUCCAUCUGUCUUUCUGCCAGUGCAUUCACCCUCCAGGUUCUAGUAUGUUACGUUUAUGUUCCCCUGCUUUCUACAAUCCUGUUCAAAGAGUUGCUGACUUAACCACAGAGAGGAUUCCAGAACCUGAGACACAGAAUAAACUUGAGCAAUCAUAGUCCAUCCACUUCAUUGUCUCAUCAAAAACCAAAGGUCCAGUGAAGCUCUGGAACUCAACGCUGUAAAGGAGCGAAGGAGCUUCUAUACAGAGCCUGGAUGCCUGUCUCCUUAUCCUACUUCAGUGGACUUGACUGCAAUCCGGAUUAUGCUGUUUUCUAAGCAUUUAAAAUAAAA
This 742-nucleotide long non-coding RNA is filed under the name Homo sapiens (human). RNAcentral's name for it is "STARD13 antisense RNA". Lineage: Eukaryota; Metazoa; Chordata; Mammalia; Primates; Hominidae. The record is from RNAcentral.